This 757-nucleotide ribosomal RNA is filed under the name Candida albicans. Its description in RNAcentral is "eukaryotic LSU rRNA". It matches the Rfam family "Eukaryotic large subunit ribosomal RNA", at positions 114 to 892 of the family's 3401-position model. Lineage: Eukaryota; Fungi; Ascomycota; Pichiomycetes; Serinales; Debaryomycetaceae. The record is from RNAcentral.
UUUGAAAUCUGGCGUCUUUGGCGUCUGAGUUGUAAUUUGAAGAAGGUAUCUUUGGGCCCGGCUCUUGUCUAUGUUCCUUGGAACAGGACGUCACAGAGGGUGAGAAUCCCGUGCGAUGAGAUGACCGGGUCUGUGUAAAGUUCCUUCGACGAGUCGAGUUGUUUGGGAAUGCAGCUCUAAGUGGGUGGUAAAUUCCAUCUAAAGCUAAAUAUUGGCGAGAGACCGAUAGCGAACAAGUACAGUGAUGGAAAGAUGAAAAGAACUUUGAAAAGAGAGUGAAAAAGUACGUGAAAUUGUUGAAAGGGAAGGGCUUGAGAUCAGACUUGGUAUUUUGCAUGUUGCUCUCUCGGGGGCGGCCGCUGCGGUUUACCGGGCCAGCAUCGGUUUGGAGCGGCAGGAUAAUGGCGGAGGAAUGUGGCACGGCUUCUGCUGUGUGUUAUAGCCUCUGACGAUACUGCCAGCCUAGACCGAGGACUGCGGUUUUUACCUAGGAUGUUGGCAUAAUGAUCUUAAGUCGCCCGUCUUGAAACACGGACCAAGGAGUCUAACGUCUAUGCGAGUGUUUGGGUGUAAAACCCGUACGCGUAAUGAAAGUGAACGAAGGUGGGGGCCCAUUAGGGUGCACCAUCGACCGAUCCUGAUGUGUUCGGAUGGAUUUGAGUAAGAGCAUAGCUGUUGGGACCCGAAAGAUGGUGAACUAUGCCUGAAUAGGGUGAAGCCAGAGAAACUCUGGUGGAGGCUCGUAGCGGUUCUACGU